CCAUGUUAACCAGCUUGGCUAUAAGGAUGUCCGGGAUGAUGGUAUUAAACUCUGAAUUAAAAUCGACGCAUCCUUACUGAAGUCCUAGGAUUCUCUAGAUGUUGCAGAGCAGAGUGGAGGGCAAUUGAAAUUGCGUCUUUGGUGGACCUGUUUGCCUUAUAGGCAAACUGAUGGGGGUCAAAGCCAGGUAGGAGGCAGUCCUUUAUGUGCUUUAGGACCAGCUUCUCAAAACACUUUGCAACCACAGGUGUCAGUGCAAUGGGUCUGUAGUCAUUGAGGCUACUGAUGGUAGAGGACUUGGGGACUGGGACUAUAAUUGCAGAUUUCAAGCAGUGAGGGACGUUGGCUUGUGACAGGGAUACGUUAAAAAGUCUGUUGAACACAGGAGACAACUGGUCAGCACAUACUUUGAGCACAUUCCCAGGUAUUCCAUCAGGGCCAACAGCUUUCCUCUGAUUUACUGCUCUGAAUAUAUUAUGGACCUUGUUAGGGUUAUCUUCUUCUAAAGAUACGUUAGAAACCAACCACAGACAGCUGUGAUGACUUUUUACUUGCUGCAAGGGAAGUCUGGUGCUGACUUCGAGGUGUCAGCCUCUCAGUCGAACUCAGCCAACUUCGAAAGAGGAACUCCCCUCGCAGUAUCUUUUAUUGGGGUACACAAACAGGAUAUGCAAAUAACAUUCAACAUUGUUUAUCACCAUGUAUGGGGUGGAAAUAUUCAAGCGACAGUUCUUAAGAAGGGUUAUUGCUAAGUUAAGAUCAAGCUGCUGCAGGGAGUUAUUUCUAAGAAAUGGCAUCUAGCAAAAUGACAAUAAAAAAAGUACAUAUUUCUCUAACAGACCUGAUAUUCUUGAAGGGUGAGUGUGUGUGGGCUGAGCUCAGAGGAGGCUAUGGGCAGGGUAGUUUGCAUGGAAGGAGUGUCUACAGUUAUCUCAAAGUGAGUAAAGAAGUGGUUUAAUUCCUCUGCUAAUGAGAUGUCCAUGUUUCCCAUAUAUGUCCCGCUGCCUUUGUAAUUAGUAAUUUGUUUCAGUCCCUCCCAUACCUUUCUGGGGUUAUUGUCUGAGAGGUCAUUCGAUAGCUUAAUUGAAUAGGCCCAUUUUGCUUCUCUGAUGCCUUUUUUAAGGUCUGCUCUUACCUGGUCCCCAGAUUUAUAAGUAGAGUUUAUAGAGAGAUUAUUUUUUAACACAUCUAUAGUUAUGCGGUGGCCCAGAGUUAGACCUCUUGACUCCACACAGAAACAGCAACGCGUGCGGCAUGACAUCACUUUGUUGCAGAGACGCUAUUGGUUAAAUGCUGGCAAAGUAGAACACAGAAGCAGCUUGAAGUGGAAAGCGCGAGUAUGUCUGCGGUCUGGAGGUAUUAUAAAGUUGAUGACAACAACAUUGCCAUAGCAAACUGUGAGAUAUGUAAACUUGGGAUUGCAAGUGGUGGAAAGGAAAAGGCUACAUUUAACACAACAAACCUAAUACGGCACCUCAAAAACAAACACCCGACACAAUACAGCGAGUUUACCCAGGUAACCCAGCCGAAGACGAGUCAGCUCACGCUGCAGGAGAGUUUGAAGAGGAGAGAAAAAAUGCCCCGUGACAGCGCGAAGGCACAGGACAUCACAGCCAAGAUAGCACAAAUGAUCGCAAUGAGUGACCUGCCAUUCGCCUUUGUAGAGAACCCUGGAUUUCUUAUACUUAUGGAGCACGUAGAACCUCGAUUUGAUAUGCCGUCUCGCCACUAUUUCACCGAGAAAGCUCUGCCAGCCCUUUAUAAGAAGAUUUCUGACAAACUACUUGUCCUGUUAUCAGAUGUACCCUAUGUUUUGUUCACCACAGACAUCUGGAGUUCGUCCGUAGCUCCCAUGUCUCUACUAAGCCUUACCGCAUAGUGGAUUGACUGAAGUUUUGUUUUAUGCCGUGCGAUCCUACAUGUCCAGGAAUUUCGCGGAUCGCACACCGCAGAGCGCAUCCAGGAAUCGGUGGAAAAGAUGAUAAACAACUGGGGAAUUGACAAGCAACGGGUCCACGUAAUUUUGCGUGACAACGUGGCAAAUAUGAAGAAAGCUAUGAGGGAUAUGGGGGUGCCGAGUGUGGGCUGUGUCGCCCAUUCCUGUCAACUCUGUGUGCAUCAGGGCCUGCUGUCUCAGCGCAGCGUGACAGAGACCCUGGCCAACGCAAGGAAGAUUGUAGGCCAUUUUAAACACUCCCCAUUAGCCUACUCUCGACUAGAAGACAUACAGAUGGGUCUAAAUAUGGAUAUCAAGCGCCUACAGCAAGAUGUACAGGUGAGAUUCCUCGCGUAACUUUCUUUAAUGUAUUUCUAUUUUAUUAUUGUUUCCCAUACACUUGAUUUAGUAAGCCACUAAUACAUUAUGUGCUCUGCACCUAAUUUGCACAAAAAUAAAGUGAAUCAUGUUCUCUUAUGUGCAGACACGAUGGAACAGCAGCCUCUACAUGCUGCAGAGCCUACUGCAACAAAAACGUGCUCUUAGUGUCUUUGCAGCUGAGUGCACUCUACCAGCAACACUGACAGUUCACCAGUGGGAGCUGAUGAAUAAGACUGCUGAUCUGCUAUCCCCCUUUGAAGAGCUGAUCAGAGUGUGAGCAGGGAGACUGCAACUGCAGCUGAUGUGAUCCCUGCCAUAACAGUCCUCAGACGUGUUCUGUCUCGGGAGGAUGAUGAUGACCAGGGAAUAAAAACAAUGAAGAGGACUCUGCUGGAGGCCGUGCUUCAGCGCUUGGCUGAUGUUGAAACUGAGCCACUCUUCUAGAUCCCAGAUACAAAGAUGGCUUUUUCACAACGUCAGCCAACCUGUUGCUUGCAAAGGAACACCUUAUCCAGGAGGUGGCAAAGACAGAGGGAAGGAGGGCUGUCAGUGCAGUGCCAGAGGAAAAUGAGGCUGCAGCAGAGCCAGUGAGCAAGGCACCACAUCAUGAAGCAUGUAGCAGCCGGGACAUCGCCUUUGAGGAAAUCUUACAAGAGAGGCAGUCACAGGGAUGGUCUGUGAGUACCACAUCAGCAGAAACUCAAGUGCAGACCUACCUCUCAGAAAAAAACACCCCUAAGAAAAGCGACCCACUUCAGUACUGGAAAGAACAUGCUAAUCAUUUUCCCUCUAUGGCUGCUGUUGCAACCCAGUAUCUCAGGGCCCCCUGCAGCUCUGUGGACAGUGAGAGACUUUUUAGUGCCGUUGCAAACGUCCUUGAUGAGAACAGAAACAGGCUCAAACCUGACAAGGUAGAGAUGUUAGUUUUCAUUAAGAAAAACAUACAUUUCCUUCUGUGAAACUUACUACUGUGAUGACAGUAAGAGUUAGGAGUGCAGUUCCUAAAAGCACAUUACUGUCUUUGCAAACACUGUGGCACUUUUAUUUUUUUUGUUUACAUGCCUGCCAGGUAUUUUAAG
Brienomyrus brachyistius is the source of this 3396-nucleotide long non-coding RNA. RefSeq lists it as uncharacterized. NCBI's taxonomy places the organism in Eukaryota, Metazoa, Chordata, Actinopteri, Osteoglossiformes, Mormyridae. The record is from RefSeq and is a predicted model, not a curated record. The transcript is spliced from 3 exons.